UACGGAGGGUGCAAGCGUUGUCCGGAUUUAUUGGGUUUAAAGGGUGCGUAGGCGGCCCGAUAAGUCAGUGGUGAAAGCCUCCAGCUCAACUGGAGAACUGCCAUUGAUACUGUCGGGCUUGAGUACAGACGAGGUUGGCGGAAUUGAUUGUGUAGCGGUGAAAUGCAUAGAUACAAUCAAGAACUCCGAUUGCGUAGGCAGCUAACUAGGCUGUAACUGACGCUGAGGCACGAAAGCGUGGGGAGCGAACAGG
Molecule: ribosomal RNA, 253 nt
Filed under: uncultured bacterium
Lineage: Bacteria
Description: partial 16S ribosomal RNA
Rfam family: Bacterial small subunit ribosomal RNA
Source: RNAcentral